This 335-nucleotide ribosomal RNA is filed under the name uncultured Treponema sp. RNAcentral describes it as "bacterial SSU rRNA". It matches the Rfam family "Bacterial small subunit ribosomal RNA", at positions 355 to 683 of the family's 1533-position model. The record is from RNAcentral. Lineage: Bacteria; Pseudomonadati; Spirochaetota; Spirochaetia; Treponematales; Treponemataceae.
CUAAGAAUAUUCCGCAAUGGACGAAAGUCUGACGGAGCGACGCCGCGUGGACGAUGAAGGCCGAAAGGUUGUAAAGUCCUUUUGAACCUGACGAAUAAGCAGUGCAGGAAAUGGCAUUGUGGUGACGGUAGGGUUUGAAUAAGCAACGGCUAAUUACGUGCCAGCAGCCGCGGUAACACGUAAGUUGCGAGCGUUGUUCGGAAUUAUUGGGCGUAAAGGGCAUCUAGGCGUAUCUCAAGCUUGGUGUGAAAUGCCGGGGCUUAACUCCGGAACUGCAUUGAGAACUAAGAUACUGGAGUCGCUGAAGUGCAGCCAGAAUUCCUGGUGUAGGGGUG